AGGAUGAACGCUGGCGGCGUGCUUAACACAUGCAAGUCGAACGAUGAAGGCUGGAGCUUGCUCUGGCUGGAUUAGUGGCGAACGGGUGAGUAACACGUGAGUAACCUGCCCCAGACUCUGGGAUAGGCGCUGGAAACGGCGUCUAAUACCGGAUACGAGCUUCCACCGCAUGGUGAGGAGCUAGGAAAGAAUUUCGGUCUGGGAUGGACUCGCGGCCUAUCAGCUUGUUGGUGAGGUAAUGGCUCACCAAGGCGACGACGGGUAGCCGGCCUGAGGAGGGUGACCGGCCACACGUGGGACUGAGACACGGCCCAGACUCCUACGGGAGCAGCGAGGUGGGAAUAGUGGCACGAAGUGGGCGACGAAGCCUGAUGC
This 375-nucleotide ribosomal RNA is filed under the name uncultured soil bacterium. RNAcentral's name for it is "bacterial SSU rRNA". It matches the Rfam family "Bacterial small subunit ribosomal RNA", at positions 26 to 389 of the family's 1533-position model. The record is from RNAcentral.